UGAGCCGUUUCUUGUCGUGGACACAUUUAUCCCCUUUUCCCCCAAGAACACCUCUAUCCCCAAGCGAGCAGCUCGUGGUGGCGGCGCUAGUUUCGGCCACCUGCGGCCAAGGAAAAAUGGAGGAUGCUGAUCUGGAGUUUCUGCUUGAUGUCGUGGACAGGUUAAUUUCUAAAGAUCUGAGUAUUUCGCGGUAUUUAUUUUACAGUCUACCAUAACUGAAUGAGGUUGCUAACAAUGGGGCCUGGCCGUCGGCCAUUACCUUCCUUCUCUCCCGCUGUGGGAGGAGUUUGGGGACAACAUUAAACACCCAGAUCCGGUUCCUCUGGCCGGGUUUAGUUGAGGUCAACGGGUUGGCGACGAAGGACCUGAAAAGGCACGAGGUGGAGGCCGCCGUCGUCCAAAUUCUUCUCCGACUAGGUCGGCGCAGUCAACUGACAGAGUCAACCCACAGGCCCCAGAUUGGACAAAAAGCGAUGAUGGAAACUGGAGUGCAGCUUAAUUUGUCUAUAUAUUUUUGCAGUGGAGAAGGUGAUGACCAAACAAGAGGCUGUUGAUGAGAUCACUACUUUUGGAGGUGGCAAUCAGCAAAGUUUAUCCGGGCGUGCACAGGUGGUGCAAAUGAAAUGUGCUGAAGAAAGCGAAGGAGACAUUGGGCCCUCAGUACACGAAGAAGAGUGAGUUCCAAGCUGAGUUCCAUGAGGUUUUGAACCACAUGCUAACUGAAGAUGAGUUUGAGACGGCGUGGGCUGCGCUGUUAGAUAAGUACAAUCUGAGAAAGCACCCCUACAUGACCCAGAUAUACGAAAUCAGAAAAAGGGACAGACCGAGCAUCUGCAGAAGAAGAUUGCUUACUCCCUCCGUUCCAAAAUAGAUGAACAAAGUUUGUACUAACUUUGGCUUGUGACAGGGACAGACCGAGUCAUCUAUUUUGGAAUGGAGGGAGUACGAGAUAGUGACAAUGAAAAGGAACAAAGGAGCUAUCCCAGAGUUUCUGUACGAUGUGAUCGUUGACUGAAGUGGAAGAUAGUGGUAGUUGUAUCUUUUGGCUGUACGUAUGCUAGGCAGUUAGAUUAACCCGACUAAGUAGUUGGGCCAUUUUGCGGCAAAAUCCCCUGCCAUCUUGUAUUUUUGGGAAAACUAUAGUCAUGCAAUAUUUUCCCAGGCGGGAACCUAUUAGACUAAGUGAAAACUGGUUAUGUUGUGA
Long non-coding RNA from Triticum aestivum (bread wheat), 1204 nucleotides. RefSeq lists it as uncharacterized. The record is from RefSeq and is a predicted model, not a curated record. The transcript has 4 exons. NCBI's taxonomy places the organism in Eukaryota, Viridiplantae, Streptophyta, Magnoliopsida, Poales, Poaceae.